AGUGAGCAUGGACGCAGAUCCUCUCCCAGUGGAGCAUUUGGAUGACCACGGCUCUGGCUAACACCUCACUUACAGCCUUGGGAGAGAUUCUGAGUCAGAGGCAUCCAGCUAAAUUGACCCACAGACACGAGUCUCGCUCUGUGGCCCAGGAUGGAGUGCCGUGGUGUGAUCUCGGCUCACUGCAAGCUCUGCCUCCCAGGUUCAUGCCAUUCUCCUGCCUCAGCCUCCCAAGUAGCUGGGACUACAGGCACCCACCACCAUGCCCGGCUAAUUUUUUGCAUUUUUAGUAAAGACGGGAUUUCACCGUGUUAGCCAGGAUGGUCUCAAUCUCCUGACCUCGUGAUCCACCUGCCUCAGCCUCCCAAAGUCCUGGGAUUACAGGCAUAAGCCACCACACCCAGCUGUAAGAAACAUUGCUAAAAACUGAGGUCAUAAAGGCAUUCUUCUAUGCUAUCUUCCAAAUUUUAUAUUUUUGCUUUUCACAUUUACGUAGUCAGUCCACUUGAGAUGGAAUUUUGGGUAUGGAUUAUAUGGGGGCUCAACUUCACUAUAUUCUCUUUAUUGAAGAGCCAAACAUUUCUCAACUCUUCUAGAGUGUAAUCUAUGUCAUAAAUCAGGUUUCUGUAUAUCUACAGUGCUGUUUCUGGGCUCCCUGACCAACUUGCCCAUUCUUUUGCCCCAAAGUAUAAAUUUAUUAAAGUUUAAUAAUAAUUAUUUCCAUUUUAAAGCAUGUGAAAUGCCAUGGUUAUUUCUCAUGUAUUGCCCUUUCAUGUAUAUUUUAGCAAUAGCUUAUCAAAUUCCAUUUAAAAAUCUUUUGAAAUUAUUUUUACUAGAAUUGCACCAAAUCAACAGUUACUGAAUCUUCCAAUCCAUGAACAAGGUUUCUUUGUCCUAUUUUAUACACUUUCUUUGGUAUAUCUCAAUACAAUUUUGUUUUUCUCUAUGAAGCUCUUCCCUAUCAUUUAUGUCUUGAAGUCUUGUAAAUGGUAACUUAUAAAUUAUGUUUUCUCCUGGUUUGCAGACAUAUUGAAAUAGAUGUUUUAUUUUACAUUAAUUAUGUAUUCAGCAAAGUUGCUAUAACUUUAUAUUAUUUCUAAUAACUUAUCUAUAGGUACUUUUUGAGAUUUUUUAAAUAGACAAUCUCAUCAUAUGUGAAUAACAGUUUCAUUUCUUUACAAUUUAUUUCUUUAAUUUCUUUUACUUGCCUUCCAGUACAAUGUCAAAUAUAAAAAGUGACAGAUUUUCCAAUGUUAAACCAUACUUGCAUUCCUGGCUAAACCCAACCUAGCUAUGAUAUAUUAUCUCUUUUAUAUGUUGCUUCAUAUGGUUUGCUAAUAUUUUGUUUAGGACCUUUUUGCAUUGUUUUUAUGAAUGGGAUGGACCUAUAAGUUUUCUUUCUCAUCAUUGUUAGCUUUUGGUACCAAAGUUAUGUUUUAUUACUUCAUACAUCUCACACUGUCAAAGUUUUACUGCAUUCCUGGUAUCAAAGUUGUACUACUUUUGUUUUUCUGUCUUCUGGAAUAAGUUAUAUGCAAUUGGAGAUAUUUGUUCUAGUUUGGUAUAAUUGAUAAUAAAAUGAUUUUGACCUUAUAUUUAUUUUCUUUCUUCUCUUUUUUUUCUUUUCCUCCCUCCCUUUCUUCUAUUUUCUGCUGUUUUUUACUCAUGGUGCUUUAUUUUCCUGCGAACUUUGUACCUUGAAACCGUCAACUCAUAUUUCUCGAAACUUUAACUUUUUUUCUUUGAGUAAAGAUGAACGCCCAAGGAAAGAUAUGCUUUUUUUUUUCUUCUGAAAAGUAACAUAAAUUAAGGCUACUUGUGAUCAUAAUUUGUUAGAAAAAAUUUUUUUGGCUUUUCCACUCAGCACCCAAGGUUUGACACUGGCAAUUUUCCAUGCAGUCCCUGGGGUGAUAGAUUUAUUUUCACCUUACAGAAAGGUGUAGUCCAUGGGGUUCCAGCUUUAUGAUGAAGUUUCCUAAUUAGGCAUCCCAUAUCAGGUGGACCCUGGGUUUUGUCUACUAUAACUCAAAGCAAUACCAAUUACAGUAUCAUCAUAACAUUUAAGCAUUAACGAUAAUUAUGACAUUAUGAUGAGUGAAAGAAGCAGUUCAAGAAAAGUAUGUUCUGCUUUUAUUGUAAUUAUAUUCUAGAAUUAAGUAUGUUGUGCUUUUAUUCUAAUUACAUUCUAGAAUUGGAGAAAUUAACUUAUAGUUUCAAAAAGCAGACUGAAUAGUUGUCUCAGGCUGAGAGUGACUACAAAGUUCCCUAAGGUAACUAUUUGAGGUAAUAAAAAU
Molecule: long non-coding RNA, 2291 nt
Filed under: Homo sapiens (human)
Lineage: Eukaryota; Metazoa; Chordata; Mammalia; Primates; Hominidae
Description: HSALNT0342065
Source: RNAcentral